RNAcentral lists this transfer RNA (71 nucleotides) under Muribaculaceae bacterium. RNAcentral describes it as "tRNA-Gln". It matches the Rfam family "tRNA". From Rfam's summary of the family: Transfer RNA (tRNA) molecules are approximately 80 nucleotides in length. Lineage: Bacteria; Pseudomonadati; Bacteroidota; Bacteroidia; Bacteroidales; Muribaculaceae. RNAcentral also lists the same sequence under 3 other names. The record is from RNAcentral.
UGUCUUAUGGUGUAAUGGUAGCACGACAGAUUCUGGUCCUGUUAGUAAAGGUUCGAGUCCUUUUAAGACAA